AUUAUUAAACUUUACCCCAUCAUUUUUCAAGUAAAAUUGACAUUCCUGAUAAAUAUGUUAUAGUAGCCCUGAAUCUUUUCAUACCACCAAUUUCAAUUCUGAUGUUCCCAGGGGUAAGCAACCCACUGUGAUGGUACAGAACUGGUUUCUUUCAAUUCUAAAAAUUCAGGAAGAUCAUUAACAGUGGUUUUCUUUCUUUUAGCAGAGUGAAUCUAGCAGCAGUUCAUCAAGCGAGGAAGUUGCUUCCCAAAGCAGCACCGAGCCAAAAUGCGCUUUAAAUGAAGAUGUGACCAACCAAUGCAAUCAGGAACAGCUUCAUAGAAUGAACAAAUACAACCAACUCCAGCUGGAAGCUAUCCAUGCUCAGGAGCAACUUCGCAGAAUGAAUGAAUACAAC
RNAcentral lists this long non-coding RNA (397 nucleotides) under Microcebus murinus (gray mouse lemur). RNAcentral's name for it is "lncRNA (ENSMICG00000048206.1)". Lineage: Eukaryota; Metazoa; Chordata; Mammalia; Primates; Cheirogaleidae. The record is from RNAcentral.